This 460-nucleotide ribosomal RNA is filed under the name uncultured bacterium. RNAcentral describes it as "partial 16S ribosomal RNA". It matches the Rfam family "Bacterial small subunit ribosomal RNA", at positions 338 to 795 of the family's 1533-position model. The record is from RNAcentral.
CCUACGGGUGGCAGCAGUGAGGAAUAUUGGUCAAUGGGCGGAAGCCUGAACCAGCCAAGUAGCGUGCGGGAUGACGGCCCUACGGGUUGUAAACUGCUUUUGUACGGGGAUAACACGCUCCACUUGUAGAGGUCUGCAGGUACCGUGUGAAUAAGGACCGGCUAAUUCCGUGCCAGCAGCCGCGGUAAUACGGAAAGGCCGGGCGUUAUCCGGAGUCAUUGGGCUUAAAGGGAGCGUAGGCGGCCUGUCAAGUGAGCUGUAAAAUCUGCGGGGUCAAACCGGGCCUCGCAGUUGAAACUGGAGGCCUUGAGUACACAACAGGCAGGCGGAAUUCGUGGUGUAGCGGUGAAAUGCGUAGAUAUCACGAAGAACCCCGAUUGCGAAGGCAGCCUGCCGGAGUGCAACUGACGCUGAGGCUCGAAGGUGCGGGUAUCAAACAGGAUUAGAUACCCCAGUAGUC